UAUGUAUUUAAUGCCAUGCAGUGUGUUACGCUCAGGGAACAGCGCUGUGCCUAAAGGGGGCUAUAGCUUUCUUCUGAUGCAGCUACAGCAGCUAAUCACUCAAAACAGAGGAGUCACAGGUGCUGAAAAGCCUGUCUGCAGACUGUGCUGUCACAUGCCCACCACUGAAAUAGGUAAUAAAAUAUGAGUGUAAAGGCUUGGUAACCAAACCCCCCGUCUGUGAUAAGCAAACAUGGCAAGUUUGUCAUAUCACUGAAAGGAGUUCUCAUCCCUGGGAAGAAGGAAUUUCACUGCAGUUCAGACAUCUUCAUAAUAUAGUAGUGUAUAGCAGAUCCAGAGGUGCUACAUUCUACCAACCCAAGAGACUU
This is a long non-coding RNA of Falco peregrinus (peregrine falcon), 368 nucleotides long. RefSeq lists it as uncharacterized. Lineage: Eukaryota; Metazoa; Chordata; Aves; Falconiformes; Falconidae. The record is from RefSeq and is a predicted model, not a curated record. The transcript is spliced from 4 exons.